Molecule: small nuclear RNA, 103 nt
Organism: Dromiciops gliroides (monito del monte)
Lineage: Eukaryota; Metazoa; Chordata; Mammalia; Microbiotheria; Microbiotheriidae
Source: RefSeq, a predicted model, not a curated record
UUGCUUCAGGAGCAUGUGUACUAAAGUUGGAACAAUACAGAGGGGAUUAGCAUGGCUCUUGCACAAGGAUGACAACCACAUUCCUGAAGUGUUCCACAUUGUC